AGAAUCAACGCUGGCGGCGUGCCUAACACAUGCAAGUCGAACGCGGUUAUUUCAGCUCCGCAAGGCGUUGGGAUAACUGAGUGGCGAACGGGUGAGUAACACGUGGGUGAUCUACCUUCGAGUGGGGGAUAACGUUCCGAAAGGACGCUAAUACCGCAUGACGUUCUGGGUUUGAAGACCUGGAAACCAAAGCCGGGGACCGCAAGGCCUGGCGCUUGAAGAGGAGCCCGCGUCCGAUUAGCUAGUUGGCGGGGUAACGCCCACAAGGCGACGAUCGGUA
Molecule: ribosomal RNA, 280 nt
Filed under: uncultured soil bacterium
Lineage: Bacteria
Description: partial 16S ribosomal RNA
Rfam family: Bacterial small subunit ribosomal RNA
Source: RNAcentral